Oncorhynchus keta (chum salmon) is the source of this 629-nucleotide long non-coding RNA. RefSeq lists it as uncharacterized. NCBI's taxonomy places the organism in Eukaryota, Metazoa, Chordata, Actinopteri, Salmoniformes, Salmonidae. The transcript has 2 exons. The record is from RefSeq and is a predicted model, not a curated record.
CCUCUCUGCAGCAUAAUGUCUUGUGCAGCCUACUUAGAUGGCAACGCAACGCCAAAGUCCAUGAGCAGAGCCAAACAAUGGACUGACGAGGUGGAGAACUUAUACAGAUUCCAACAGGCAGGCUACAGAGAUGAACUGGAAUACAAACAAAUCGACAGGUGGCCUGAGACUGGGUUUGUGAAGAAGCUUCAGCGUCGAGACAACACAUUCUAUUACUACAACAGAAAAAGAGAAUGUGAAGACCGGGAAGUCCAUAAAGUGAAGGUCUAUGCAUAUUAAGUCAGGAGUGUCCAGCAAUCUCUUUUCCAUUUUGAAUAUCUUUUGACGUGUUUUUGAAGAAGACGUCUGUAGGAAGGAAGGCAGCAUCAUCCCAGCUGUGGAAUGUAGACCAGUUCACUGAAUAAAGGGUGUGAGGCUGAAGCUGUCUGAUGUGUGUGAACCUGUGAUGGGAGGUAUGUGUGUGUUAUAAGGGUCCUUUUGAUGAGUGUUUUGUUGUGGAUCCAGAUGAACUAUUGAACUGUGUGAGAGGGGAUUAUAGUCUGGGGCUAUCACACCCUCAUCAUGUGAUAUUGUGACGUUAGUAUGAGGACUGGGAUUACCGUCAACAAAAUAAAAUACCUAAAGUCUGA